RNAcentral lists this transfer RNA (66 nucleotides) under Microgaster sp. SNS-2016. RNAcentral describes it as "tRNA-His". Lineage: Eukaryota; Metazoa; Arthropoda; Insecta; Hymenoptera; Braconidae. The record is from RNAcentral. RNAcentral also lists the same sequence under 1 other name.
AUUUAAAUAGUUUAUUUUAAAACAUUGAUUUGUGGAAUCAAAAAUAUUAAUUUUUAAUUUUAAAUA